UUCAACAGGGAGGCGGAGCUCUGGCCCUUAGCUCCACCCAGCAGACGCUGCCGAGUGUUUUCUUUAUCGCUGCUAUGGGACAGCAUGAUGGCCCUCCUCUCUGCCUGCUAACACACAGAGGUAACGUACACAGAAUGUGGAAGACAUGAGCAGUACAGCUGUAACUGUUAAAGGCCAGUGGCGUUUGUCUUACCGCUGCACAGCCUCCAGGCACCACUCCAGCCACCAGGACAGGGGAGUCUCCUCUGAGCGUGAGACCCAGUCCACCCUCUCUCCUCUGCAGGCAGAUCACACGUACCGGACCCCAGCGAGCCCGUGCACAAAACACUGACAGAGGCCCCUGCAGCAUAGGGAAGAGUCAUCUUCAUCUCAAGUACCAGUAGAAGCUGCAGUUUUUUAAUUGGGUCUAUGUAAAUGUGUGUAUUUCUCUAAAUGUCAGACUGUUCUCAUAAUGAAUAUGUCUUACCAGUCUUUGGAAGAUAUCAGUAACUUGGACUGUAGAGAAGUUGGGUGGAGUGAUGUCUGGUUUCUGACGGGUUUGAGCUGACAACAGAAGAAACCACAAUCACUUACUGUCAUUUAACCAUGAAAUAAUUGUAUUGAAAGGACUUGAAACACUACGUACACUGUAUCUCUGGAGCCUCUGCGGUUUCAUCAAAGUCGUCCUCUCUGUCCAGCUCCGAGUACUUGUCCAAAGAGCGUUUGUGUGUGAGAGACAGCACGUCCUGCAGGAUGUCCAUCUUCCUCAGGAUCUUACACAGACUGUGAACACGCAUGGCCUCCUCAUGUCUGAUUACUGCACGCCGCAAGUGAGCUUUACCUGCAUACAUGGUCUCGUAAAACCUGGCUGAGUGGUGGCCCUGCAGGAACGCUGACACUGAACUGGAGGAAAGCCUUCUCUGCUUCCUCAUCACCCUCCUCCUCCUCCGCAGACACUACAGAACAAGACAUUCCAAGUUAACGUGUUAUAGCUGGUAUUUUCUUUUAGUCAGUUAAAUUCAUUCAAAACCUACCCUAAAAUUUCUAAAUGUACUUCAUCUUAUUUCUACAUGUCAGGCAUUUUUAACUAAGAGGAGGCAGGAUUUUACACUGGCCUAGGCCCCUCUUUGCAAAUAUCACCAACUGAACUGGGCAAAGUCUGAUCCAUAUUAGAAUCUGUACAAAGUGUUCCCAUCCCUCAUCAUUUAUAAUUAAUGUAAAUUGUUUAUCAUGCUUUUAAUUUUUAGGAUGGCUCUUUGUACAAGGCCUCUAUUUCUGCACAGUGUUUUUAUGCUGUACAUGUACAGUGUUUGUGUAAGUAUGUGAAUGUUUUCAUGUAUUUCUCUUACUUUACUGCAUUUUUUAAUGUGCAAAUCAAGACCAUUAAAAUUAAAACAACUAA
Molecule: long non-coding RNA, 1381 nt
Organism: Siniperca chuatsi (mandarin fish)
Lineage: Eukaryota; Metazoa; Chordata; Actinopteri; Centrarchiformes; Sinipercidae
Exons: 3
Source: RefSeq, a predicted model, not a curated record